UACGUAGGGGGCAAGCGUUGUCCGGAUUUAUUGGGCGUAAAGAGCGUGUAGGCGGUUCGGUAGGUCCGUUGUGAAAACUCGAGGCUCAACCUCGAGACGCCGAUGGAAACCAUCGAACUAGAGUCCGGAAGAGGAGAGUGGAAUUCCUGGUGUAGCGGUGAAAUGCGCAGAUAUCAGGAAGAACACCCGUGGCUAAGGCGGCCCUCUAGUACGGUACUGACGCUGAGACGCGAAAGCGUGGGGAGCGAACAGG
Molecule: ribosomal RNA, 253 nt
Filed under: uncultured bacterium
Lineage: Bacteria
Description: partial 16S ribosomal RNA
Rfam family: Bacterial small subunit ribosomal RNA
Source: RNAcentral